GUGACUUGCAGAUGUGAAUCAUCAAUCUUUGAACGCACAUUGCGCGGUGUGGUAUUCCGCACCGCACGGAUGGAAGAGCGUGUUCCCUUUGGGAUCGCAUUGCUUUCUUGAAAUGAAUCUAUUACUUCAAUAUACAUCAUUUCACCUCUUUCAUCCGAGAUUACCCGCUGAACUUAAGCAUAUCAAUAAGCGGAGGAAAAGAAACCAACAGGGAUUGCCUCAGUAACGGCGAGUGAAGCGGCAAAAGCUCAAAUUUGAAACCCUCGGGAUUGUAAUUUGAAGAUUUGGCAUUGGAGAAAGCUAACCCAAGUUACUUGGAAUAGUACGUCAUAGAGGGUGACAACCCCGUCUGGCUAACCGUUCUCCAUGUAUUGCCUUAUCAAAGAGUCGAGUUGUUUGGGAAUGCAGCUCAAAGUGGGUGGUAAACUCCAUCUAAAGCUAAAUACUGGUGAGAGACCGAUAGCGAACAAGUACUGUGAAGGAAAGGUGAAAAGAACUUUGAAAAGAGAGUGAAAUAGUAUGUGAAAUUGUUGAUAGGGAAGGAAAUGAGUGGAGAGUGGUUUAGGUUUCAGCCUUCUUUCGAGGGGGUGCACUACCAACGCCGAGUCAUUGAUAGCGAGACAGGGGUUAUAAACGGACGGCACUUGUGCUAUUCUCCUAACCCCUCUACUGCCACCAACGACAUAAUCCACCCAUUUCACCCGUCUUGAAACACGGACCAAGGAGUCUAAUGGAUAUGUGAGUGUUAGGGUGCUAAACCCCAGCGCGCAAUGAAAGUGAAUGAUUCGUUCAGAAUCGACCGAACUUGAUUUUUAUGACAGUUUUGAGUAAACACAUCCAUUGNGACCCGAAAGAUGGUGAACUAUGCUUGA
RNAcentral lists this ribosomal RNA (872 nucleotides) under Yarrowia deformans. Its description in RNAcentral is "LSU rRNA". The stretch from base 141 to 872 matches the Rfam family "Eukaryotic large subunit ribosomal RNA", at positions 1 to 840 of the family's 3401-position model. The record is from RNAcentral. Lineage: Eukaryota; Fungi; Ascomycota; Dipodascomycetes; Dipodascales.